RNAcentral lists this ribosomal RNA (120 nucleotides) under uncultured bacterium. RNAcentral's name for it is "partial 16S ribosomal RNA". It matches the Rfam family "Bacterial small subunit ribosomal RNA", at positions 28 to 144 of the family's 1533-position model. The record is from RNAcentral.
GAUGAACGCUGGCGGCGUGCUUAACACAUGCAAGUCGAACGAUGAACCCGGAGCUUGCUCUGGGGGAUUAGUGGCGAACGGGUGAGUAACACGUGAGCAACCUGCCCCUGACUCUGGGAU